GUCCACGCCGUAAACGAUGAGUACUAGGUGUUGCGGGUAUUGACCCCUGCAGUGCCGCAGCUAACGCAUUAAGUACUCCGCCUGGGAAGUACGGUCGCAAGACUAAACUCAAAGGAAUUGACGGGGCCCGCACAAGCGGUGGAGCAUGUGGUUUAAUUCGACGCAACGCGCAGAACCUUACCUGGUCUUGACAUCUACGGAACCCUCCCGAAAGGAGGGUGCCUUUCGGGGAGCCGUAAGACAGGUGCUGCAUGGCUGUCGU
Molecule: ribosomal RNA, 262 nt
Filed under: uncultured bacterium
Lineage: Bacteria
Description: partial 16S ribosomal RNA
Rfam family: Bacterial small subunit ribosomal RNA
Source: RNAcentral